AACCGGUUUGUGUAGGAUAGGUGGGAGACUGUGAAACCGGGACGCUAGUCUCGGUGGAGUCGUCCUUGAAAUACACCCUGAUUUGGUUUGAGGUUCUAACCUGGGCCAGUGAAUCCUGGCCGGGGACCGUGCAUGGUAGGCAGUUUGACUGGGGCGGUCUCCUCCCAAAAGGUAACGGAGGAGUACGAAGGUACGCUUAGGGCGGUCGGACAUCGCCCAUAAAGUGCAAUGGCAAAAGCGUGCUUGACUGCGAGACCCACAAGUCGAGCAGGUGCGAAAGCAGGUCAUAGUGAUCCGGUGGUUCUGUAUGGAAGGGCCAUCGCUCAACGGAUAAAAGGUACUCUGGGGAUAACAGGCUGAUACCGCCCAAGAGUUCAUAUCGACGGCGGUGUUUGGCACCUCGAUGUCGGCUCAUCUCAUCCUGGGGCUGUAGCCGGUCCCAAGGGUAUGGCUGUUCGCCAUUUAAAGAGGUACGUGAGCUGGGUUUAAAACGUCGUGAGACAGUUUGGUCCCUAUCUGCCGUGGGCGCUGGAAAUUUGAAGGGGGC
Molecule: ribosomal RNA, 547 nt
Filed under: uncultured bacterium
Lineage: Bacteria
Description: bacterial LSU rRNA
Rfam family: Bacterial large subunit ribosomal RNA
Source: RNAcentral